AAACCAUGCAUCGGACAUUUGCACAACAUAUCUUUAAAUUGCUCCCAAGCUUCAUAAAGAUUCUUUUCCUCCAUUUGCUUGAAUGGUGUGAGAUCAUUCCUCAAUUU
Hibiscus syriacus is the source of this 107-nucleotide small nucleolar RNA. Lineage: Eukaryota; Viridiplantae; Streptophyta; Magnoliopsida; Malvales; Malvaceae. The record is from RefSeq and is a predicted model, not a curated record.